CAACAUAGGAAAUCUGCCUUAGGGUGGGGGACAACAGAGGGAAACUUCUGCUAAUACCCCAUAUGAGCGUACCUGCGAUGGUAUUCUUGAAAGUUCCGGCGGUACAGGAUGAGUCUGCAUCUGAUUAGCUAGUUGGUGGUGUAAUGGACUACCAAGGCGACGAUCAGUAGCUGGUUUGAGAGGAUGAUCAGCCACAAUGGGACUGAGACACGGCCCAUACUCCUACGGAAGGCAGCAG
Molecule: ribosomal RNA, 238 nt
Filed under: uncultured bacterium
Lineage: Bacteria
Description: partial 16S ribosomal RNA
Rfam family: Bacterial small subunit ribosomal RNA
Source: RNAcentral